This 72-nucleotide transfer RNA is filed under the name Bacteroidia bacterium. RNAcentral's name for it is "tRNA-Thr". It matches the Rfam family "tRNA". From Rfam's summary of the family: Transfer RNA (tRNA) molecules are approximately 80 nucleotides in length. Their secondary structure includes four short double-helical elements and three loops (D, anti-codon, and T loops). Further hydrogen bonds mediate the characteristic L-shaped molecular structure. tRNAs have two regions of fundamental functional importance: the anti-codon, which is responsible for specific mRNA codon recognition, and the 3' end, to which the tRNAs corresponding amino acid is attached (by aminoacyl-tRNA synthetases). tRNAs cope with the degeneracy of the genetic code in two manners: having more than one tRNA (with a specific anti-codon) for a particular amino acid; and 'wobble' base-pairing, i.e. permitting non-standard base-pairing at the 3rd anti-codon position. The record is from RNAcentral. Lineage: Bacteria; Pseudomonadati; Bacteroidota; Bacteroidia.
GCCGUGUUAGCUCAGCGGUAGAGCAAAGGUUUCGUAAACCUUAGGUCAGGGGUUCAAAUCCCCUACACGGCU